AAAAAAAUGACUAUAAUUAUAAAAACGUAGCCUUUAAAAAUAUGUAAAGAUGAAUAUGUGAUUUUUGCUAUAUUUAAAAACUUAAUUAUAAAUCAUCCAAAUUAUUUUGUGCGGUCGGUAAGAGUUUUUCUUAUUAUUGCGUGUAACGUGGAUUUUGAGCUGAGGUUUUAGCGGGUGUACAUUCAUUGCGCAUAGACUGGGUUGGGUCGAAUUGACGUGAAGGAGCGGUCGCGCCACCGUGAUAGUGACUUGUAGCAUUCGCCCAAUGCUUAUCUUCUCCGUACGUUUUUAUCUCAAAGCUUAUUAUUACAAUUUAUGUUAUUACAGAGGAUUGGAAUUCCCAUAAGGAUACAGAAGGUGCAAUAGAGGCCUUCUGUUACGUAGAUAUCCGUAACGUUGCGAUAAGAUCGAGGAUUAGAUUUUCAGUGUUUUAAGAUAUGUUAAAAUUUAGGUACAUAGAGAAAAAUAAUUUAAAGUGUUAUUUUGUGGCUAUUAAUUAUGGUAAAUUUUAUGUAAUUAACGAACAUGAUUAAUUUCACCAGGCAAAAAUUCACCAAAGAGGCCCAUAUACAUGGACAAUUUGAGAAGUUGUAAUUAUCUUGAUUAAGG
RNAcentral lists this unclassified non-coding RNA (609 nucleotides) under Hevea brasiliensis (rubber tree). Lineage: Eukaryota; Viridiplantae; Streptophyta; Magnoliopsida; Malpighiales; Euphorbiaceae. The record is from RNAcentral.